UUCCGGUUGAUCCUGCCGGACCCGACUGCUAUUUGGGUGAGGAUAAGCCAUGCGAGUUGAAUGGGAAACCUAAAGUUCCCAUGGCAAACUGCUCAGUAACACAUGAUCAACUUACCCUAUAGAGAAAAAUAACCUCGGGAAACUGAGGAUAAUGUUUCAUAGUUGAAUUGGCUUGGAAAAGUUUUUCGACAAAAGGGGUAAAAAAAAUGGUUUUUAUCUGCUAUAGGAUAGGAUCGUGUUCGAUUAUGGUUGUUGGUGAAGUAAUGGCUCACCAAGCCGAUAAUCGAUAGGGGCCGUGAGAGCGGGAGCCCCGAGAUGGGUACUGAGACAACGACCCAGGCCUUACGAGGCGCAGCAGGCGCGAAACCUCCGCAAUACACGAAAGUGUGACGGGGUUACCCAAAGUGUUCAAUUUUGAACUGUGGUAGGUGAGUAAUGUUCCCUACUAGAAAGGAGAGGGCAAGGCUGGUGCCAGCCGCCGCGGUAAAACCAGCUCUUCAAGUGGUCGGGAUAAUUAUUGGGCUUAAAGUGUCCGUAGCCGGUUUAGUAAGUUCCUGGUAAAAUCGGGUAGCUUAACUAUCUAUAUGCUAGAAAUACUACUAUACUAGAGGGCGGGAGAGGUCUGAGGUACUGCAGGGGUAGGGGUGAAAUCUUAUAAUCCUUGUUGGACCACCAGUGGCGAAGGCGUCAGACUGGAACGCGCCUGACGGUGAGGGACGAAAGCCAGGGGAGCGAACCGGAUUAGAUACCCGGGUAGUCCUGGCCGUAAACGAUGCAUACUAGGUGAUGGCACGGCCAUGAGCCGUGUCAGUGCCGUAGGGAAACCGUUAAGUGCGCCGCCUGGGAAGUACGGUCGCAAGGCUAAAACUUAAAGGAAUUGGCGGGGGAGCACCACAAGGGGUGAAGCCUGCGGUUCAAUUGGAAUCAACGCCGGU
This 935-nucleotide ribosomal RNA is filed under the name uncultured archaeon. Its description in RNAcentral is "bacterial SSU rRNA". It matches the Rfam family "Archaeal small subunit ribosomal RNA", at positions 1 to 922 of the family's 1478-position model. The record is from RNAcentral.